Molecule: ribosomal RNA, 424 nt
Filed under: uncultured bacterium
Lineage: Bacteria
Description: bacterial SSU rRNA
Rfam family: Bacterial small subunit ribosomal RNA
Source: RNAcentral
UGAGGAAUAUUGGGCAAUGGGCACAAGCCUGACCCAGCCAUACCGCGUGAAGGAUGACGGUUCUAUGAAUUGUAAACUUCUUUUCUUGUGGACUAAACUUAACUACGUGUAGUUAAUUGAAGGUACUCAAGGAAUAAGCAUCGGCUAACUCCGUGCCAGCAGCCGCGGUAAUACGGAGGAUGCAGGCGUUAUCCGGAUUUACUAGGUUUAAAGGGUGCGUAGGCGGAUUUGUAAGUCAGUGGUGAAAUCCUAUAGCUUAACUGUAGAACUGCCAUUGAUACUGCGAACCUUGAGUAUAGUUGAGGUAGGCGGAAUGUGUAAUGUAGCGGUGAAAUGCUUAGAUAUUACACAGAACACCGAUUGCGAAGGCAGCUUACUAAACUAUAACUGACGCUGAGGCACGAAAGCGUGGGGAUCAAACAGG